GUGAGCAAGAAGGAGUUUGAGAUGCUUUUUGACCUUAUUCUGGCUGCCAACUACUUGGACAUCAAGCCGUUGCUGGACUUGACAUGUGCAACAGUUGGACUCCUCAUGAUGAACAAGACUCCA
RNAcentral lists this non-coding RNA (123 nucleotides) under Heterosigma akashiwo. Lineage: Eukaryota; Raphidophyceae; Chattonellales; Chattonellaceae. The record is from RNAcentral.